CAGUAGCCGCGGUAAUACGGAGGGGGCUAGCGUUGUUCGGAAUUACUGGGCGUAAAGCGUACGUAGGCGGCUUUGUAAGUUAGAGGUGAAAGCCUGGAGCUCAACUCCAGAAUUGCCUUUAAGACUGCAUCGCUUGAACGUCGGAGAGGUGAGUGGAAUUCCGAGUGUAGAGGUGAAAUUCGUAGAUAUUCGGAAGAACACCAGUGGCGAAGGCGGCUCACUGGACGACUGUUGACGCUGAGGUACGAAAGCGUGGGGAGCAAACAGGAUUAGAGACCCCGGUAGUCCCUGUCUCUUAUAC
Molecule: ribosomal RNA, 301 nt
Filed under: uncultured bacterium
Lineage: Bacteria
Description: partial 16S ribosomal RNA
Rfam family: Bacterial small subunit ribosomal RNA
Source: RNAcentral